GACGAACGCUGGCGGCGUGCUUAACACAUGCAAGUCGAACGGAAAGGCCCUGCUUUUGUGGCGUGCUCGAGUGGCGAACGGGUGAGUAACACGUGAGUAACCUGCCCUUGACUUUGGGAUAACUUCAGGAAACAGCGGCUAUUACCGGAUAGGAGCUCCUGCUGCAUGGUGGGGGUUGGAAAGUUUCGGUGGUUGGGGAUGGAAUCGCGGCUUAUCAGCUUGUUGGUGGGGUAGUGGCUUACCAAGGCUUUGACGGGUAGCAGGCAUGAGAGGGGGACCGGCGACAUUGGUACUGAGAGACGGCCCAGACUCGUACGGGAGGCAGCAGUGGGGAAUAUUGCAGAAUGGGCGGAAGCCAGAUGCAGCAACGCCGCGUGCGGGAUGACGGCCUUCGGGUUGUAAACCGCUGUCGCCUGUGACGAAGCGUGAGUGACGGUAAUGGGUAAAGAAGCACCGGCUAACUACGUG
Molecule: ribosomal RNA, 468 nt
Filed under: uncultured bacterium
Lineage: Bacteria
Description: partial 16S ribosomal RNA
Rfam family: Bacterial small subunit ribosomal RNA
Source: RNAcentral